AUGCCUUACGGUUUAAAGCUUUAGCGUCUGAGGAUGGGUCUGCGGCCGAUUAGGUAGUUGCUGGGGUAACGUCCCAACAAGCCGAUAAUCGGUACGGGUUGUGAGAGCAAGAGCCCGGAGAUGGAUUCUGAGACACGAAUCCAGGUCCUACGGGGCGCAGCAGGCGCGAAAACUUUACACUGCGCGAAAGCGCGAUAAGGGGACCUCGAGUGCGUGCGCAAUGCGUACGCUUUUCAUACGCCUAAAAAGCAUGUGGAAUAAGAGCCGGGCAAGACCGGUGCCAGCCGCCGCGGUAACACCGGCGGCUCGAGUGGUGGCCGCUAUUAUUGGGCUUAAAGGGUCCGUAGCCGGACCAGUUAGUCCCUUGGGAAAUCUUACGGCUUAACCGUAAGGCUGCCAAUGGAUACUGCUGGUCUUGGGACCGGGAGAGGCAAGAGGUACCUCAGGGGUAGGAGUGAAAUCCUGUAAUCCUUGAGGGACCGCCAGUGGCGAAGGCGUCUUGCUAGAACGGGUCCGACGGUGAGGGACGAAAGCUAGGGGCACGAACCGGAUUAGAUACCCGGGUAGUCCUAGCCGUAAACGAUGCGAGCUAGGUGUCACGUGGAUUGCGAAUCCAUGUGGUGCCGUAGGGAAACCGUGA
This 640-nucleotide ribosomal RNA is filed under the name uncultured archaeon. RNAcentral describes it as "bacterial SSU rRNA". It matches the Rfam family "Archaeal small subunit ribosomal RNA", at positions 175 to 817 of the family's 1478-position model. The record is from RNAcentral.